This 427-nucleotide ribosomal RNA is filed under the name uncultured bacterium. RNAcentral describes it as "bacterial SSU rRNA". It matches the Rfam family "Bacterial small subunit ribosomal RNA", at positions 83 to 507 of the family's 1533-position model. The record is from RNAcentral.
GGUGGGCGUCGACCGGCGCACGGGUGAGUAACGCGUAUCCAACCUGCCCACCACUUGGGGAUAACCUUGCGAAAGUAAGACUAAUACCCAAUGAUAUCCCGACGAAGGCAUCCGAAUGGGAUUAAAGAUUUAUCGGGUGAUGGAUGGGGAUGCGUCUGAUUAGCUUGUUGCGGGGUAACGGCCCACCAAGGCUACGAUCAGUAGGGGUUCUGAGAGGAAGGUCCCCCACAUUGGAACUGAGACACGGUCCAAACUCCUACGGGAGGCAGCAGUGAGGAAUAUUGGUCAAUGGGCGAGAGCCUGAACCAGCCAAGUAGCGUGCAGGAUGACGGCCCUAUGGGUUGUAAACUGCUUUUAUAAGGGAAUAAAGUGAGCCUCGUGAGGCUUUUUGCAUGUACCUUAUGAAUAAGGACCGGCUAAUUCCGUG